AAGUCGUAACAAGGUUUCCGUAGGUGAACCUGCGGAAGGAACGUUAAAACAACCCUGUGAAUAUUGAAGUUCCCCCAGGGCAGAAAAAUGGGCUUCCUCUAGUAAAUCAUUGUCUUAACAAGGUUUUGAGUUAGAGGAUGGCGCACGAGUAGCACCUGUAUUGGGUCGAGCGUUUCCAAGAUCCACCCCUGGUGCCCCCAAGCAACCAUCAAUCUGAAAGUGUUUGGUGAAUUGUGCAAGGGCAGCGCAGUCAACGAUCGGUGGUCCACAGGGCCAUUGACCGGGGGUCGUUACUCUACCCCUAACCGAACAACUGUUAACAAUGGAUAUCUUGGUUCUC
This 340-nucleotide unclassified non-coding RNA is filed under the name fungal sp. Its description in RNAcentral is "partial internal transcribed spacer region". The stretch from base 1 to 46 matches the Rfam family "Eukaryotic small subunit ribosomal RNA", at positions 1786 to 1831 of the family's 1831-position model. The record is from RNAcentral. Lineage: Eukaryota; Fungi.